CAUGGUUUUUCCUGCAACUCACUUCAAUUUUGCUGCAAAAAUUAAAAUUCAUCGACAUGAAAAUUUACGACAAGCAGCUCAACGCAAACGUCGACGAUUUCGUCGUGGAGACUUUCCUUUGAAGUCUCAAUUUACCUAUGAUUCUCCCGCUUUCUGUUUGCUGUAACUUAACAUAUUGUGUCGACUCUUUAUUUAAGCACCUCUCUUGUAAAGGAAAUUUGUAAACAACUUUCGAAGUUGCAAUUUUUCACGGCGCACCUGUAUCCUUCGCUUUCAAAUGAUUAUUUAAAACACCAAACAAAAUCAACCAAAUUGAUUUUAUCAGCAUUUAUUAAGCAGAAAUUCUACACAAUAUAGAAGCUAUAAUUGAUAGCAAUUCAGUAUCAGCGUGACAAAUACCCAUUUCUAAAGGACGUUGCAGAGAGAGUCGUGUCACUAUUACAAAUGGAACGACCUCGCCUCUCCAUAGAUGGACAGCAAAAUAGAAAGUUAAGGGCAACUGUCUCGCACUGAUUAGAACUGUUUGCAGUAAAUAUAAAUGCAAUUAUUAUGCCUGUAGUUAGUUAAUGUAAAUAAGGUUAUUAAUAAAAACGGCUUCCAGUAUAUAUGAAUAAAGUGAAGCAGCUAAUAGGCUACAAUAUCUCGCGUGUAAUUCCUGAGUAAGAACCUCCCUCUGAACAACAAUUAAUCACCGGUUUGGAUUUUUAUUUAAUCCUAUUUCUAUUCUUUCAAAGGAUCGGGAAGGGAAACGCACGUAAUCUUUUAAUGAUAAGAGCUCUCCAGGUCAAGUUUCGCCAAAAUUACUACAGAUCUAUAAUCUGGAAGUAAA
This is a non-coding RNA of Pocillopora verrucosa, 829 nucleotides long. The record is from RefSeq and is a predicted model, not a curated record. Lineage: Eukaryota; Metazoa; Cnidaria; Anthozoa; Scleractinia; Pocilloporidae.